GACGAACGCUGGCGGCGUGCUUAACACAUGCAAGUCGAACGGGAACCUUUAUUUCGGUAAAGGUGAGAGUGGCAAACGGGUGAGUAACACGUAGGCAACCUGCCGACAGGAUGGGGACAACAUUCCGAAAGGAAUGCUAAUACCGAAUGAAGUCCGAGGAUGGCAUCAUCCUUGGAUAAAAGAUGGCCUCUUAACAAUGCUAUCGCCUGUCGAUGGGCCUGCGUCUGAUUAGCCAGUUGGCGGGGUAACGGCCCACCAAAGCGACGAUCAGUAGCCGGUCUGAGAGGAUGAACGGCCACAUUGGGACUGAGACACGGCCCAGACUCCUACGGGAGGCAGCAGUGGGGAAUCUUCCACAAUGGGCGAAAGCCUGAUGGAGCAACGCCGCGUGAGUGAAGAAGGUCUUCGGAUCGUAAAGCUCUGUUGCACGGGACGAAAACUGGG
RNAcentral lists this ribosomal RNA (444 nucleotides) under Selenomonas sputigena. RNAcentral describes it as "bacterial SSU rRNA". It matches the Rfam family "Bacterial small subunit ribosomal RNA", at positions 28 to 456 of the family's 1533-position model. The record is from RNAcentral. Lineage: Bacteria; Bacillati; Bacillota; Negativicutes; Selenomonadales; Selenomonadaceae.